GUUUGCUGGUACAUGCUGCUGAGAAUUCAACUUACCUAUUUAUCAUACGUGCUUUCGGGGAAACAUCGAACUCUGCUGUGCGCACGCGCAGUGAGUUUCACCAAACUGGCUUUUAAUGGACUGGAAGGUGAAACCCUCAACACUCGCCAAGAAAUCUCUCCCUGCGCGCGUUUCAACUUUCACAGUCAGCACGAUGGCAAAGUGGUUGGUUGUUUUGGGAUGCUUUGCGAUGUUGUUCGUCUUUGCUUUCAGCCAACAUGAUUGUGGCUCUUACUGCAGUUUUAGUGAGGUUAGACGAAGAUGCAUCGAAUCGGCACCAUCACCAACUGGUAGGAGAAAGCGAAAUGUUGGGGACGAACGAGAGCCUUCAUUGUUCCAGUAGUAAUUUAGACGCAACUAACAGGCAAGAGGCGAUGUAAUUUCCUUCACUGCCUGAAUCUUGCCACCUGGCAGUGGAGGGACUGCACGGCUACGAUGUCCGCGGUGGACCCUCACUCCAGCCACGCAUCAGCUGUCCUGGAUGACCACACGAUCCUCAUCGUGGGUCGCGGCGAGACUGGGACUCAUGCCAAGUAUGGAUGCAACAUUGACUACUUGGACACCCGGACACUCAAGUGGUCCACCUUCCCGGGCAGCACGAUAUCCCGUGCUGGGCACACGGUGACCUUUGCCCCCAGCAUUUGCACUAGAUAUGCUUUUGUAUACGGCGGGCGACAACGACACGAGACUGAGCACAUUGUUUGCAAAGUGAAGCAUCCCCUGCCGGCACUUUUUUCGUCGGGCUUCCCAGAGGCAAUGCUGAAAAAUGGAAGGAGGGUUGAGCCACCUCCGGGCAGGAGCUACCACAGCGCCGUGGACGUCAACGGCGUGAUUGUCAUCUACGGAGGCUUCAUCCAAGGGAAGUCAGUCAGGGGCUUGUUGGACGGGGUCAAUGAACUUUACCUCCACAAUGGACAGAACCAGGCAUGGCUUGUACCACAAUUAAAAGGGGAAUGGCCCAAAAGGGCAGGGCAAAUAGCGGCUCGGAUUGGGGAGGCCAGUAUUCUUCUUUUUGGAGGAGAACAUGCUGGAAGGCAAUUUAAUGACGUUCAUGUCAUCACAUGGUGAUGCAACAGACAUCUAGCGCACUGAAAGUACUUGCCAAUUAUCAGAAAUAUUGUUCAGUAUCUGAAUGAUGCCUCUAUAAAUGCUUUAAAAUUUCAUGUGUGCUUCUCAUCUGUUGUUACAUGCAAAAUGGACUUUGGUGUUGAUAUGGAUGAAAUUCAGUUUGUUAGUUCAUUGCUAUUCAUGAAAUUUGUUUAUAUAAUUGUUAUGCCUUAAAUUAAUUUACAAAAGUCUAGGAAUAGGCAAUGGAUGGAAUAUCAGUCGGUUGAAAGGAAGUUAACCAGAAUGUUUGAAAAUGAGGCAAACCUUCACAAAAAAAUGGAGGGAUAUUUGUUUGCACAGAAAUGUUGAAGUACUUGUAUUGUGUUUUUGUUGGUUUUCCAUUUUUUCAAAAGUUUCUCAAACUUCACGGUCAAAAAGUUGGUUUGAAAUUUUGUUUUGCUUACACUCUUGAUUUAAAGUGAACCCAAAAGUACUACAUAAACUGAUACCUGUAUAAUACUGCCUAAUGACAACUUCCUGAGUUUUCCCUAUGUAUUUCGAGCCAUUUGCUUUUCAAUGACAUAGACGUACAGCAUAAAACAAAAUGGGAUGACGGAUGAUCAUUUAAUAAACGCCAAAGAAAUCAGCCUUUCGACCUCAGAUAGUAGAACAGAACAACCUUAUUAUCCCUCUUGGGGAAAUUUACGUGGCCUUUAGAGAAAACAAAUCACAGGCAGGACGAAUAAAAAUUAUAUAGAAACUAAAAUUACACUCAAAAUGUAUAGACAGGUUAAGAUAGUAAAACAAGAACAUACCCAUGAAACACUGAUAUGAUUACAGUAAAUAAAAAAGUCCAACUCUUACAGUGAAACUCAGAAUUCAAUUACAAUUCAUAAAAAUACAGUGUACACGCACAGAAAUAAUAAUUAUUAAUGGAAUUAUCAUUCAGCGAAAGGGACUUGUUCCACAGUAGCUCCUCGUUCCAGCGUCUCGUUGUGCGUGAACAAAUGAGUCACCGUAGCACUGUGUUCUGAUUCUUCCUGGUAGAAGGCGAAUACUCCUAGAACUGAAAUGAAAUUUCAAAUUUGGCAUGAAACGAAUGAUGCGAUUCUGACACAACAAUUUUUGUUUUUUUACGCGUGAGGAAUUUAUACAGUGCUUUGGGAGACCAACAGAUCUGCCUACUUGUUGAACAGUUCGACUUUGAUCGUAGGCCCUUGUAUUUUCAUAGACACAAAUUAGACAAAAAAUGAAAAUACUCUGUACUAAAGUGUAGCAAAACAUUUGGAGCACCAUCUGGUCAACAUCAUCCUCGAUAAAAAUCAUUCCAGGUGGUAAGUACGAAGCAUUCUCUGAGAGACUCGAUUGCUUGACUUCACUAGGAUUUCACUUGAAUCUUCUUGGCAGGUCCUUGUCAAGGAUACUCUGCACGAUAUGGGCCGAGCCCCCCCCCCCCGUCCAAUCCAUGUACACACUCUAGACUAUUGUUACCCAACAUAUCCCCCCUAGAUGUCUGUAAUCGAGCUAAUAAUGGUUUCGCUCGGUAUGCCCAUAGAGCUACAUGGUAUGCCCUAGCAAUAGCAUUUGUCCAAGCAUGCAUUGUAACGAGUCGGGCAGUUCAUAUACUGGUAAAACGUGGGCAAACAAUCGGACUACAUGAGUCGAAGUUGAAGAUAAAUAGUGCUAUAAAUACUUGAUAUAACGGUUUUUGUCCUUACCCAAUGUAUAUACAGUGUAUUAAUAAACACUUUUUGGUCACUGUAAAUUACAAUCCCCCCUACACAAAUA
Molecule: unclassified non-coding RNA, 2874 nt
Filed under: Acanthaster planci (crown-of-thorns starfish)
Lineage: Eukaryota; Metazoa; Echinodermata; Asteroidea; Valvatida; Acanthasteridae
Description: acyl-CoA-binding domain-containing protein 4-like, transcript variant X1
Source: RNAcentral